GUUCCACCCUGGCCAAGCAGGAGCCAAGCACUGUGGCCAUUGGGACAGGUUCUAGAAUGGGGCCUUAGAAACCCUCCUGGGAACUCUGGCUGGAGCCUGGGGGAGAAGGCAGAUCCUCCACACACUGCUCAGCUGCCGGGCCCAUGCCCUCGCCAUGAACAGGGAGUGCCUGGAAUGAUGCUGGCGUAAACCGAGGAAGCAGUGCCUGCACGAGAGGAAGGGACAAUGGCACCGGCAGAGCUCCUGGGUCCAGCCAUGCUGAAAGGCACGAGAGUCCUCACCUGCGAGUUUCUGUCUCACACAGCUUAGAGUCCCCAAGAACAUACUUGGAGAUGUGUACAGAGGAACAGGAAUAGCUUCAUGAGGUAACUUUGCUUGCAUACUGGGAGAGAUGGUGGUAGAGGUAUUGGUGGAUGGGUGGGAGGGUGGGUGGGUGGAUGGAUGGAUCGGUGGGUGGGUGGAUGGAUGG
This 469-nucleotide long non-coding RNA is filed under the name Fukomys damarensis (Damara mole-rat). Its description in RNAcentral is "lncRNA (ENSFDAG00000030215.1)". The record is from RNAcentral. Lineage: Eukaryota; Metazoa; Chordata; Mammalia; Rodentia; Bathyergidae.